This 529-nucleotide ribosomal RNA is filed under the name uncultured microorganism. RNAcentral's name for it is "bacterial SSU rRNA". It matches the Rfam family "Bacterial small subunit ribosomal RNA", at positions 9 to 519 of the family's 1533-position model. The record is from RNAcentral.
GAGUUUGAUCGUGGCUCAGGAUGAACGCUGGCGGCGUGCCUAAUACAUGCAAGUCGAACGAACAGAUAAGGAGCUUGCUCCUUUGACGUUAGCGGCGGACGGGUGAGUAACACGUGGGUAACCUACCUAUAAGACUGGGAAUAACUCCGGGAAACCGGGGCUAAUGCCGGAUAACAUGUUGAACCGCAUGGUUCUACAGUGAAAGACGGUCUUGCUGUCACUUAUAGAUGGACCCGCGCCGUAUUAGCUAGUUGGCGGGGUAACGGCCUACCAAGGCGACGAUACGUAGCCGACCUGAGAGGGUGAUCGGCCACACUGGAACUGAGACACGGUCCAGACUCCUACGGGAGGCAGCAGUAGGGAAUCUUCCGCAAUGGGCGAAAGCCUGACGGAGCAACGCCGCGUGAGUGAUGAAGGUCUUCGGAUCGUAAAGCUCUGUUGUUAGGGAAGAACAAAUGUGUAAGUAACUGUGCAUAUCUUGACGGUACCUAACCAGAAAGCCACGGCUAACUACGUGCCAGCAGCCGCG